CUCCACAGACAUACCACCCUGAAUACCUCUGAUCUCAUGUGUUCUCAGAAGCUAAGAAAUGUUGGGCCUGCUUAGGAUUUGGUUGGGAGACCAUCUGGGAAUACUGGGUGCUAUGAAAA
Molecule: ribosomal RNA, 119 nt
Filed under: Phascolarctos cinereus (koala)
Lineage: Eukaryota; Metazoa; Chordata; Mammalia; Diprotodontia; Phascolarctidae
Source: RNAcentral